GAGUCCCGUAUAUGGCACGGACUCCCGUUGCUCUGCGAUACACUCUCGACGAGUCGAGUUGUUUGGGAAUGCAGCUCUAAAUGGGUGGUAAAUGCCAUCUAAAGCUAAAUAUUGGCGAGAGACCGAUAGCGAACAAGUACCGUGAGGGAAAGAUGAAAAGCACUUUGGAAAGAGAGUGAAACAGUACGUGAAAUUGUUGAAAGGGAAACGCUUGAAGUCAGUCGCGCCGUUCGGGAUUCAGCCUUGCUUCUGCUCGGUUUACUUCCCGUUGGGUGGGUCAACAUCAGUUUCGGUCGGAGGAGAAAGGCUCGGGGAAGGUGGCAGCAUUCGUGCUGUGUUAUAGCCCCUUGUUGUAUACUUCGACUGGGACUGAGGACCGCAGCACGCCUUUGGCCGGGGUUCGCCCACGUACGUGCUUAGGAUGUUGGCAUAAUGGCUUUAAGCGACCCGUCUUGAAACACGGACCAAGGAGUCUAACAUGUGCGCGAGUGUUUGGGUGUUAAACUCGGACGCGAAAUGAAAGUGAAAAGUUGGGAACACUUCUGUGUGCACCGACGCCCGGAGCUGACCUUUUGUGACGCAUCUGCGGUAGAGCGUAUAUGUUGGGACCCGAAAGAUGGUGAACUAUGCCUGAAUAGGGUGAAGCCAGAGGAAACUCUGGUGGAGGCUCGUAGCGAUUCUGACGUGCAAAUCGAUCGUCAAAUUUGGGUAUAGGGGCGAAAGACUAAUCGAACCAUCUAGUAGCUGGUUCCUGCC
This 756-nucleotide ribosomal RNA is filed under the name uncultured Sebacina. Its description in RNAcentral is "partial 28S ribosomal RNA". It matches the Rfam family "Eukaryotic large subunit ribosomal RNA", at positions 216 to 962 of the family's 3401-position model. Lineage: Eukaryota; Fungi; Basidiomycota; Agaricomycetes; Sebacinales; Sebacinaceae. The record is from RNAcentral.